Molecule: long non-coding RNA, 543 nt
Filed under: Zalophus californianus (California sea lion)
Lineage: Eukaryota; Metazoa; Chordata; Mammalia; Carnivora; Otariidae
Description: lncRNA (ENSZCAG00015001080.1)
Source: RNAcentral
UGUGAAGUGGGCUUAAAGGUGGGAGUGGAAACACAGCCUCCUCAUCACAUUCCCCACCCUCAUCUUCUAGCAGUGAGGGUAAGCCAUCAAAUUUCUCAUGGCACCAAGGAUUCAAGCAAUGGGGUAAUGGAGAUCCUGGACAUUUAUUUUCUCACCAGUGAAAAUUAAUGAAGACCCAGGAGUUACUACAGCAUUAGUGAUGAGAAGGAAGUUUUAGCAGCUAGGGUGUGUUGAAACACAGCACUUUCCUCCUGUCAAGAAAUAACUCCACCAACAUAUAUGACUCCAAAAAGCCAUCUGGAUUUGCCUCUAGCAGUGUUGCAAGCUUGCUAAUGAGGACAACUUUUAACAGAAACCAUACUAGAAACAAUUUUUCUCCAAAGAAACAUGUUUUGAAAAAUGAAGUAGAAUGAAGGAACAAGGAACAUCUGUGCAUUGGAAAAAUAAUUGAAAGAUACAAAAGAAGCAGAUACAGUAAACUGUUGGCUUUCUUUGACUACUAGGCAUUUGUAUUUCUUCUAUGUAAAAUUUUCAAGUAAUUGC